GCACAACGCGAAGAACCUUACCUACUCUUGACAUCCAGAGAACUUAGCAGAGAUGCUUUGGUGCCUUCGGGAACUCUGAGACAGGUGCUGCAUGGCUGUCGUCAGCUCGUGUUGUGAAAUGUUGGGUUAAGUCCCGCAACGAGCGCAACCCUUAUCCUUUGUUGCCAGCGAUUCGGUCGGGAACUCAAAGGAGACUGCCAGUGAUAAACUGGAGGAAGGUGGGGAUGACGUCAAGUCAUCAUGGCCCUUACGAGUAGGGCUACACACGUGCUACAAUGGCAUAUACAAAGAGAAGCGACCUCGCGAGAGCAAGCGGACCUCAUAAAGUAUGUCGUAGUCCGGAUUGGAGUCUGCAACUCGACUCCAUGAAGUCGGAAUCGCUAGUAAUCGUGGAUCAGAAUGCCACGGUGAAUACGUUCCCGGGUCUUGUACACACG
This 437-nucleotide ribosomal RNA is filed under the name uncultured bacterium. RNAcentral's name for it is "bacterial SSU rRNA". It matches the Rfam family "Bacterial small subunit ribosomal RNA", at positions 954 to 1391 of the family's 1533-position model. The record is from RNAcentral.